Capsicum annuum is the source of this 945-nucleotide long non-coding RNA. RefSeq lists it as uncharacterized. The transcript is spliced from 2 exons. Lineage: Eukaryota; Viridiplantae; Streptophyta; Magnoliopsida; Solanales; Solanaceae. The record is from RefSeq and is a predicted model, not a curated record.
CAAUAGCUAGUGUACAUUAAAUUUUUUUUUUUUUUUGGGUUUUCCAAGGUAUCCCUACAGCCGCAGCCAUGAGAUUAAUCCUCCGUUCCUAUGAUCAGCACACACUAAGCGGUAGGAAACUGUCCACAAUUUUUUUUUCAUUUAUUAGAGGUGGGAUCGAACCCCCAACCUCUUAGUUACGGGGUGAAUUGCUAACCACCACACCAUUAUUUACAGGUAUAAUGAUAUAUGUAUUACUUAAAACUGACUAAUUUCAAAUACCUCAACAUAGAAAAACUGAAAACUGCAAACAGAAGUAAUAAAAGAUUUUCUCUCUGUUACUAUUUUCCUUAUAAAUAUAUGGUCACCUAACAAUUCUUUCUCACCAUUCUUUUCCUCAAAAUAUAAUAUUAGAUCAAAGAAAGAAAGCUUCUCUAUGGCUGCCAAUUCUCUGAAACUAUUUGCCACUCUCUCUCUUCUCUUUAUGCUCCUCUUUGCCACUGAAAUGGGAGUGACAGAGGGGAGGACAUGCAAAUCAAACAGCAGGUUAUAUAGUGGACCGUGUUUCAACAACAACAACAACAGAAACGUCAACUGUAAUUUUAUUUGCAGUCGUUGCGAGGGCUUCCAAGCCGGAGGUUGCGAAAGUCGCAAUUGUGUGUGUAGGAGGAGCUGUUGAUUUUCCUAUAUCCAAAUAUGUAUGCAUGGUGGUUUUUUCUUUUUGCUUUUUUUUUUUUUUGAAAUUUGAAUCAAUAAGAAUGAAGUUCAAGUCUAGUUGAUUAAGAACAGGACUCCCAGUUCUUUAAUUAAUUAAGAUUGACUAUGUAAUAAAUAAGAGUUGCAUGGUUGUGUUCUUUAAUAUUAUGCAUGUGUGGAUGUAAUUUGAGAAGUUGUAUGCUUAUGCUUUGUCUCCAUUAUCCAUUCUCCGUUUGUCAUGAAAGGUGAAUAAAGUUGGAAGUUUAAUAA